GCACCUUCGGUGUCCGAGUUGUAAUCUCUAGAAAUGUUUUCCGCGUUGGACCGCACACAAGUCUGUUGGAAUACAGCGGCAUAGUGGUGAGACCCCCGUAUAUGGUGCGGACGCCCAGCGCUUUGUGAUACAUUUUCGAAGAGUCGAGUUGUUUGGGAAUGCAGCUCAAAUUGGGUGGUAAAUUCCAUCUAAAGCUAAAUAUUGGCGAGAGACCGAUAGCGAACAAGUACCGUGAGGGAAAGAUGAAAAGCACUUUGGAAAGAGAGUUAACAGUACGUGAAAUUGUUGGAAGGGAAACGCUUGAAGUCAGACUUGCUUGCUGAGCAAUCGGUUUGCAGGCCAGCAUCAGUUUUCCGGGAUGGAUAAUGGUAGAGAGAAGGUAGCAGUUUCGGCUGUGUUAUAGCUCUCUGCUGGAUACAUCUUGGGGGACUGAGGAACGCAGUGUGCCUUUGGCGGGGGUUUCGACCUCUUCACACUUAGGAUGCUGGUGGAAUGGCUUU
This 500-nucleotide ribosomal RNA is filed under the name Rhodotorula mucilaginosa. RNAcentral's name for it is "partial 26S ribosomal RNA". It matches the Rfam family "Eukaryotic large subunit ribosomal RNA", at positions 125 to 641 of the family's 3401-position model. Lineage: Eukaryota; Fungi; Basidiomycota; Microbotryomycetes; Sporidiobolales; Sporidiobolaceae. The record is from RNAcentral.